AUGACAAGAAGAUAUUGGAACAUUAAUUUGAAAGAGAUGCUAGAAGCAGGAGUUCAUUUUGGUCAUGGUAUUAAGAAAUGGAAUCCUAAAAUGGCCCCUUACAUUUCGGCAAAGCGUAAAGGUACUCAUAUUAUAAAUCUCGCUAGAACGGCUAGUUUUUUAUCAGAAUCUUGUGAUUUAGUUUUUGAUGCAGCAAGUCAGGGAAAAAGUUUCUUAAUUGUUGGUACCAAAAAAAGAGCAACAGAUUUAGUAGCAUCAGCUGCAAUAAGGGCUCGUUGUCAUUAUGUUAAUAAAAAGUGGUUCAGUAUUAUGUUAACAAAUUGGUCGAUUAUGAAAACUAGACUUUCUCAAUUUAAAGACUUAAGAGCAGAAGAAAAAAUGGGAAAAUCCCACCAUCUCCCAAAAAGAGAUGUGGCAAUCUUGAAGUGA
Molecule: ribosomal RNA, 429 nt
Filed under: Triticum aestivum (bread wheat)
Lineage: Eukaryota; Viridiplantae; Streptophyta; Magnoliopsida; Poales; Poaceae
Description: partial small subunit ribosomal RNA
Source: RNAcentral